AUGUCCGGCUCGGCGUCGACGACGCUGCAAUACACGGGGAUCGGCGCCUUCGUCGCCAUCGUCCUCCUCGGCCUCGUCUACUUCGGCCGGUCCAUCAUCACCGGCCGCCACGAUGUCCACACCAGGCAUGACACGGCCACCGCGAGCCCGGGGCAGCAGCUGGGCCUUGCCCCCGACGACAUCGCCGUGCUCCCGACGUUCACGUACCUCGGCGCUUCGCCUGGCCGCUGGGGCGGCGGCGGCGGCAAGGCCAAGGCCAAGGCUGUGGCAGCGGACAGCUGCGCGGUCUGCCUCGAAGAGCUCCGCGGGGGCGCGCUGGUGCGCAUGCUGCCGUCGUGCAAGCAUUACUUCCAUGCGACCUGCGUCGACGUGUGGCUGCUGUCGCACGCGACGUGCCCAGUCUGCCGAGCGAGCCCGGCGCCCGAGAAAGUCCGCCUGGGCGCGGUGUCCAUGUCGCCGCCGCUCCCGCAGCUCCGACCAUACGGCGGGUCGCCCAAGGGAGGCGAUGUUUCCAGGUUGUCGUCUCCAGCGGUCAGGUCUUCGACGCAGCCGGAGCUUUUCCUCCACGUGAGCAAUGCCCACUCAGUAAUGGCGCCGUCGCCGACUAGACCUGCGACGCCGGACAGACGAGUGUUUCGGUCAAGUUCAUCUUCUCAGGCGAUGACAGAUUUGCAUUUGGCGGAGGCUGUGUAA
This 693-nucleotide ribosomal RNA is filed under the name Triticum aestivum (bread wheat). RNAcentral describes it as "partial small subunit ribosomal RNA". Lineage: Eukaryota; Viridiplantae; Streptophyta; Magnoliopsida; Poales; Poaceae. The record is from RNAcentral.